RNAcentral lists this long non-coding RNA (599 nucleotides) under Bos taurus (domestic cattle). RNAcentral's name for it is "long non-coding RNA NONBTAT006792". Lineage: Eukaryota; Metazoa; Chordata; Mammalia; Artiodactyla; Bovidae. The record is from RNAcentral.
AGAAGUGUUAGUUUCUUUAGGAAUGAGGCAGGUGUUGGGGACACCCACCCUUAAAAAUUUAAGCUAGCUGUUGAAUGACAUUCAGUUUGGGAGUAGAAAAGAUGGGGACUGAAGAGAUAGUCAUUCCAGAUUGUAGGAAUUGAAUGAGCAUAGGAAGAAUCUUAUUUCAGGAACUUUGAGAGUUGAGGCUAGAAAGUUAGAGAAGUCAUUAAGCUGUGAAAGGCUUUAAGUAAACACCCUGCUCAAAAGAAAGAUGUUGGGAAGUAUCUGUAGACUUUGGGCUUUGAAGAUUUCAAAACACGUUUGUAACAUGAUGAAGCAUGAUUUUAUAAAAACAGCUUAGCAAUCAGAAUGAUGGAUGGAUUAGGAUAGUGGGCAGGAUUACUUAUGAGCUAAUGACUCACUAAGGAUGUGGCAUUGAGAAAAGAGAGGGACAGGAAUUGUUGAAGGACAUUUUUUCAUAGACUCAAAGGGGCAUGGCAACCAAAUGAUUGGCUCUAAAGUUGAAUUAGAAGAAUGUAAUCAAAACGAUACUAAGAUUCCAGAGUUCCUAAGUAUGUGAAACUACUGUUGUCUGAAAUGGCAAAAAAGUGAAAAAU